RNAcentral lists this long non-coding RNA (1119 nucleotides) under Delphinapterus leucas (beluga whale). RNAcentral's name for it is "lncRNA (ENSDLEG00000004843.1)". Lineage: Eukaryota; Metazoa; Chordata; Mammalia; Artiodactyla; Monodontidae. The record is from RNAcentral.
UGCGCCGCGCGGCCGGCUCCGCUCCCCUCGUGGCCCUGGCCAAGGCUUGCCUGGACCCCUCGGCCCCUGACGAAGAGCGCGCGCUGGGGACGCGAAAGUUUUUAUUUUUCCCUUGGCCCUGAAAUGUGAGCCGUCUCGGGGAGCUCCGGGACCACCUUCAGUAUUAGCGGUUUCUGGGGAGAUUACGGUUUUCUGCUCGUCGUGAAAUAGGAGAUGUCAGUUGCAGGCGCUGGGCACGGAUAAGGUGGCUUUUACGGAAGGCUUUGGCAGGUACCGUUUGGAUUACAGACGCCUCCAGUUCUCAGCGUCAUAUGGAAAAGGAGCCAGAAGGAAAAACAGAUUUAAAGGAUCCGAUGGGAGCACUUCUUCUGACACUACCUCAAAUAGUUUCGUUCGCCAGGUAAGGGUGCUCUUAAAUUCAUGGUUUGGAGAAGUCUAUGAAAAUGAAUUCACUUUUGGUUUUUUUAGAGGUGGUCUUACAGCGUCAUCCCUAUGAUUUAUAUAGUAUUAUUGUACUUGCUCUUAGUUGAAGUGAAAGUUGUGCCGUUGAAUGUCCUAAUUAAUAUAUUUAAAUUUUAAGUGAGACCGUAUGUGUCAUAAUUACACUCUCCUGGCAAGUUGGGGAAAGAGAAAUGCAAACUUCAUUACAGAGGAUUUCUUCAGAACAGCAUGAAUGAACCCCAGGAGAAAUGAUUCCAGGCUUGGGGGGUUUGCGGGGGGUGGGGGUAGGGAGACAGGCAGUGGGCAUCCGUACCACCAGCUGUAAAGUUGGGAUACUGGUCUUCCUCCAGCUGGAGUUUUCUUCUUCCCACCUGGGGCUUGAAUUGUAAAAGAGAAGAUUGGCUCUUGAAACGGUCGAGGCUAGUAAGGUCAAGUAGAGCACAUGGUAUCUUGGAGGCAUAACUGAAACUGCUUUGGAGACAGAGGCUUCAUCUUAGUUAAGGUGGAUUCCUGCCCAGGAGUUUGGAACUGCCCCCUAGGCAGUGUCAGGAUCCCUGACAUGGAAACGCUCUCACCCGUGGUUACAGAAAGGACUUUCAUUCCCAGAGGAAGAGUAGAGGCAGCCAGAUCUCGGAGGGUAAUAGGUUCCAGGUGAGGCUAAAGUCUCAUCAGGUGUAG